Molecule: ribosomal RNA, 529 nt
Filed under: Kryptoperidinium foliaceum
Lineage: Eukaryota; Dinophyceae; Peridiniales; Kryptoperidiniaceae
Description: partial Bacterial small subunit ribosomal RNA
Rfam family: Bacterial small subunit ribosomal RNA
Source: RNAcentral
UGAAGAGUUUGAUCAUGGCUCAGAUUGAACGCUGGCGGCAGGCUUAACACAUGCAAGUCGAGGGGUAACAGAGUAGCUUGCUACUGCUGACGACCGGCGCACGGGUGCGGAACGCGUAUGGAACCUGCCCCUGUCAGGGGAAUAGCCCAGGGAAACUUGGAUUAAUGCCCCAUGGUAUCGUUUUAUCGCAUGAUAUUACGAUUAAAGAUUUAUCGGACAGGGAUGGCCAUGCGUACCAUUAGUUAGUUGGUGAGGUAACGGCUUACCAAGGCAGCGAUGGUUAGGGGCCCUGAGAGGGGGAUCCCCCACACUGGUACUGAGACACGGACCAGACUCCUACGGGAGGCAGCAGUGAGGAAUAUUGGACAAUGGAGGCAACUCUGAUCCAGCCAUGCCGCGUGAAGGAAGACUGCCCUAUGGGUUGUAAACUUCUUUUAUAGAGGAAGAAACGUGAAUACGUGUAUUCAUUUGACGGUACUCUACGAAUAAGGAUCGGCUAACUCCGUGCCAGCAGCCGCGGUAAUGCGGA